Molecule: long non-coding RNA, 233 nt
Filed under: Gossypium raimondii (Peruvian cotton)
Lineage: Eukaryota; Viridiplantae; Streptophyta; Magnoliopsida; Malvales; Malvaceae
Description: long non-coding RNA (GRAI_LNC001734)
Source: RNAcentral
ACAACAUUGAUUUGGAUAGAAGUAUUGGUGAUCGGAUUCAUCGAGUUCCAAAGGAACGCCGAGCUUGACCCGGAGAAGAGGUUGUACCCCGGAGGAAAGUACUUUGAUCCUCUCGGCCUAGCCGCCGACCCGGAGAAGAAAGCAACCCUACAAUUGGCUGAGAUCAAGCAUGCUCGCCUUGCCAUGGUUGCUUUCUUGGGGUUUGCUGUCCAAGCUGCUGCAACAGGCAAAGG